Molecule: long non-coding RNA, 293 nt
Filed under: Elaeis guineensis (African oil palm)
Lineage: Eukaryota; Viridiplantae; Streptophyta; Magnoliopsida; Arecales; Arecaceae
Description: long non-coding RNA (EGUI_LNC033542)
Source: RNAcentral
UGCUUCUUCUUGGUCCCUACGGCGGCUGAUGAGGAUGCCUUCCUCUUCUUCUGCACAUUCUUCCUCCUUAGCACUUCAAGCUCUUCAAGCCUCAUAUUUGCAACAAGCUAGAAUAGGUCAGAAAGAAAAGAGUGGGAGAGAGAAGAUAAGGUGAACAUCAAAAGGCUGCUAAACUAACAUCUGAAGUCAAUCAGGCUGAGACCAGCAUGGAAGAGAGUCUGCUCCGACAGCAGUUCCUAUAAAAAAGAAUCUUAUACUUUCAUAAAAUUUUAGAGUAUUUUGUGUCCUCUCCC